UUGACCUGUAUAGGUUAAGUGCUUACAGGUCUUAUUUCACUUAAUCGUGAAAACAACCCUACAGAAUGGGUAUAGCUAUCUUUAUUUUAUAGGUGAGAAAAUUUAAAUCUACAAAUGGCACUAAAAGGAGAAACAUUAAAAAAUAAAUUCCUUGAUAAAAAGAAGAAAAAUGGAGGACAAGAACUUCCAGACCACAAAUGGAAAAAAUGGCCAGAUUUCGAACUUGUUGACACAAGACUUUCUAAAGAAUUCUUUCCUUCAAUCUUCAAAUCCUAAAAUAUUCAAAAUGGUAAUUGCUUAAUCAGUCUCAGAGCAAAACCGUUGGCUUAUGGAGGGUAAAUGGAUAGCACGAAUAAUAAGUUAUUGAUUUUGGAAGCCACUGAGAUUUGGGGGUUAUUUGUUAUUAUAGCAUAACUUUGCAUAUCCUGAUUGUAUUGGGCCUCUAAAAUCACGUUGUA
Molecule: long non-coding RNA, 458 nt
Filed under: Homo sapiens (human)
Lineage: Eukaryota; Metazoa; Chordata; Mammalia; Primates; Hominidae
Description: HSALNT0319990
Source: RNAcentral